UGGGGAAUUGUUCACAAUGGGCGCAAGCCUGAUGACGCAACGCCGCGUGGGGGAUGAAGGUCUUCGGAUUGUAAACCCCUGUCGAAUGGGACGAAAGACUCGCGAGUUAAUACUUCGCGGGAGUGACGGUACCGUUAAAGGAAGCCACGGCUAACUCUGUGCCAGCAGCCGCGGUAAUACAGAGGUGGCAAGCGUUGUUCGGAAUUACUGGGCGUAAAGGGCGCGUAGGCGGCCUACUAAGUCAGACGUGAAAUCCCUGGGCUCAACCCAGGAACUGCGUCCGAGACUGGGAGGCUUGAAUCCGGGAGAGGGAUGCGGAAUUCCAGGUGUAGCGGUGAAAUGCGUAGAUAUCUGGAGGAACACCGGUGGCGAAGGCGGCAUCCUGGACCGGUAUUGACACUGAGGCGCGAAAGCCAGGGGAGCAAACGGGAUUAGAUACCCACGUAGUCCCUGAGCGGGCUGGCAAGGCGCAU
Molecule: ribosomal RNA, 473 nt
Filed under: uncultured bacterium
Lineage: Bacteria
Description: bacterial SSU rRNA
Rfam family: Bacterial small subunit ribosomal RNA
Source: RNAcentral